AAGUCGUAACAAGGUUUCCGUAGGUGAACCUGCGGAAGGAUCAUUAACACGUAUCCAAACGUUAACCCCCUGUGAACCUUCAAUGUGCUCGUACACUUUGUCAAAGCGAGGCAAUCCCUGGUAAAUCAUCGCCGAACAGUUUUUUUAUUCUUGCAUGUUGCGCGAGGCAAGUGGCCUGGCAUUCCCAAGCAGUUAAUGUCUGAAAGUGUCAUUUGCUGUGUAAGGAUGACGCAGUAACGAUCGUUGGAGGCCGACACGGCCGACGACCGGGUCACCGGGCGCAAGCCCCUUUAUCACCACUUGAUGCAUGACAGACGCGCCAGCGCUUAAUUGUGCGGCGACCAAAAACCGAACAACUGUUAACAAUGGAUAUCUUGGUUCUC
RNAcentral lists this unclassified non-coding RNA (383 nucleotides) under fungal sp. RNAcentral's name for it is "partial internal transcribed spacer region". The stretch from base 1 to 46 matches the Rfam family "Eukaryotic small subunit ribosomal RNA", at positions 1786 to 1831 of the family's 1831-position model. The record is from RNAcentral. Lineage: Eukaryota; Fungi.